UACAGAGGUCUCAAGCGUUGUUCGGAUUUACUGGGCGUAAAGGGCGCGUAGGCGGUAGCACAAGUCAGUUGUGAAAUCUCCGGGCUUAACUCGGAAGGGUCAACUGAUACUGUGCGACUAGAGUGCAGAAGGGGCAACUGGAAUUCUCGGUGUAGCGGUGAAAUGCGUAGAUAUCGAGAGGAACACCUGCGGCGAAGGCGGGUUGCUGGGCUGACACUGACGCUGAGGCGCGAAAGCCAGGGGAGCGAACGGG
This 253-nucleotide ribosomal RNA is filed under the name uncultured bacterium. RNAcentral's name for it is "partial 16S ribosomal RNA". It matches the Rfam family "Bacterial small subunit ribosomal RNA", at positions 524 to 776 of the family's 1533-position model. The record is from RNAcentral.